UCCCAGGCGUCGAGUGGCGGACGGGUGAGUAACACGUAGGAACCUGCCCUGUAGCGGGGGAUAGCCCGGGGAAACCCGGAUUAAUACCGCAUAAGCCCUACGGGGGAAAGGUGGCCUCUUCUUGAAAGCUACCGCUAUUGGAGGAGCCUGCGUCGGAUUAGCUAGUUGGUGGGGUAAAGGCCUACCAAGGCGACGAUCCGUAGCUGGUCUGAGAGGACGAUCAGCCACACUGGGACUGAGACACGGCCCAGACUCCUACGGGAGGCAGCAGUGGGGAAUAUUGGACAAUGGGCGCAAGCCUGAUCCAGCCAUGCCGCGUGUGUGAAGAAGGCUUUCGGGUUGUAAAGCACUUUCAGGAGUGAAGAAAAGCGCAGGGUGAAUAAUCCGGCGUCUUGACGUUAGCUCCAGAAGAAGCACCGGCUAACUCCGUGCCAGCAGCCGCGGUAAUACGGAGGGUGCGAACGUUAAUCGGAAUUACUGGGCGUAAAGCGCGCGUAGGCGGUUUGUUAAGUCAGAUGUGAAAGCCCCGGGCUCAACCCGGGAAUUGCAUUUGAAACUGGCAGGCUAGAGUGCAGUA
RNAcentral lists this ribosomal RNA (577 nucleotides) under uncultured bacterium. Its description in RNAcentral is "bacterial SSU rRNA". It matches the Rfam family "Bacterial small subunit ribosomal RNA", at positions 82 to 653 of the family's 1533-position model. The record is from RNAcentral.